Molecule: long non-coding RNA, 1216 nt
Filed under: Chrysemys picta bellii (western painted turtle)
Lineage: Eukaryota; Metazoa; Chordata; Testudines; Emydidae
Description: lncRNA (ENSCPBG00000013508.1)
Source: RNAcentral
GGUGAAUCCAUGUAGCCCAUUUAACAAAUGCAGGCUUGGUGAAAACUCAAGGUCAUGACUGUUCUGAAUAAAAAUAGUGGCAUAGGAGUAGUGCCUAGAGGGCAACUGAUUCACAGCUGUUGCAAUAAGAAGAUAAUGAAAAUUUAUCAACAACAUCUCUACCAAAUUAUGGGAAUUUAUAGCAGAUAUUUGCAAUCUGGGUUAUUGGUGAGUUGAAAUUUCUUUUCCUCCAGAUAUUUGCCGUUUUAUCAAGUUACAAUCUGUCAUGCUGUGUGUCAUGUCAUGUUACAUCAUGAUAUGUCAUAUGAUAUUAUUAAGAGCUUCCACAAUCUCUCUUCCAGUUGGUGAUUCUGCUCCCCUGGGAAGCAUACAUUGCAAAUACAGCUGCAUGAGCUGAUACUUCUGAACACCUGGCAGUCCCUGAAGUAUUUGCUGAGUAAUAUGCUGAUGAAUACCUGCUGUAUGGUGAUAGCAAACAGGUCCUUCCUGCAGUGCUAAAAGCUCCUUGAAUAGCACAAAGAAGGUCAAGGUGAAGGACUCUGGUUCCUGUUCUAAAUCAUGAUAAAGGCACUUCCACUUUUUUCCGCAGCUCUAUACUUCAUAACCUGUCAUGCAUUGCAGGGAAAUAAGAGGGGAAUGUAUAUAUAUUAUAUUUAGCUGCUGCUGAUCUUGUAACUUCAUAUGUAGUUAGUCAUCCAUUCUCACAGAUUAUGAAAAUAGUAAAAUGAAAUUCACAGCUACACUAUCACAGCUUGAAACUUUGUAAAUGAACAUUCAUAGCAGGGCCCUCAACAUCCUUUUUAUAGACAUGACUGCAGCUACAAUUUUAUAUACUUUUAAACAGCUAUUCCUUUCAAAGCCCCAACCUCUGUGUUUUCUGUGCAAUAUUCUCUAAGGCAUGAUCCUUCUAAUUCUAAACUUCCCCAAACUAAAAGAAGAGAAAGGCAGGCUAUGUACUCACAUAAGCAGAGAAGUAACUAAUUGAAGUUAUUAAAUUAUAAUAUCUGAGUUAUAGGACUUAAAAAAAUAUUUUUUACAUGUAAAAGUCUUAUUUUUGGCAUUGCCAACAGCAAAAUGGCAUUUAGUUCAAGGGAGCAGCUUUUGUAGCUAAAAGCUUUUAUCUCUGAAAAAAGCAGAUACAAAAAGAGAAUUUCCUGCACUGAAGAAACUUCAAGGCAGGGGGAAGCAGUUCUCUUCCCCUAAACCUUUAAUAAGU